This is a non-coding RNA of Treponema berlinense, 73 nucleotides long. Lineage: Bacteria; Pseudomonadati; Spirochaetota; Spirochaetia; Treponematales; Treponemataceae. The record is from Rfam.
CGCGGGGUAGAGCAGUUGGCAGCUCGUCGGGCUCAUAACCCGGAGGCCGCAGGUUCGAGUCCUGCCCCCGCUA